AUUGAACGCUGGCGGCAGGCCUAACACAUGCAAGUCGAACGAGUGGCGGACGGGUGAGUAAUGUCUGGGACACUGCCUGAUGGAGGGGGAUAACUACUGGAAACGGUAGCUAAUACCGCAUACCAUCGGAUGUGCCCAGAGGGGAUUAGCUAGUUGGUGGGGUAACGGGUCACCAAGGCGACGAUCCCUAGCUGGGCUGAGAGGAUGACCAGCCACACUGGAACUGAGACACGGUCCAGACUCCUACGGGAGGCAGCAGUGGGGAAGAUUGCGCAAGGGGCGCAAGCCGGAUGCAGCUAUGCCGCGUGUAUGAAGAAGGCCUUCGGGUUGUAAAGUACUUUCAGCGGGGAGGCGUUACCUGCAGAAGAAGCACCGGCUAACUCCGUGCCAGCCGCCGCGGUAAUUC
RNAcentral lists this ribosomal RNA (406 nucleotides) under uncultured bacterium. Its description in RNAcentral is "partial 16S ribosomal RNA". It matches the Rfam family "Bacterial small subunit ribosomal RNA", at positions 29 to 526 of the family's 1533-position model. The record is from RNAcentral.